CUGCUGCCUUCCGUAGGAGUUUGGGCCGUGUCUCAGUCCCAAUGUGGCCGAUCAACCUCUCAGUUCGGCUACGCAUCAUUGCCUUGGUAAGCCUUUACCCCACCAACUAGCUAAUGCGCCGCGGGCCCAUCCAAAAGCGGUAGCAUAGCCACCUUUUACAUAGUUACCAUGCGGUAACUAUGGUUAUGCGGUAUUAGCACCUGUUUCCAAGUGUUAUCCCCCUNUUUUGGCAGGUUGCCCCAGUGUUACUCACCCGUUCGCCA
RNAcentral lists this ribosomal RNA (263 nucleotides) under uncultured bacterium. RNAcentral's name for it is "partial 16S ribosomal RNA". The record is from RNAcentral.